RNAcentral lists this unclassified non-coding RNA (1985 nucleotides) under Hevea brasiliensis (rubber tree). The record is from RNAcentral. Lineage: Eukaryota; Viridiplantae; Streptophyta; Magnoliopsida; Malpighiales; Euphorbiaceae.
UUAUAAAAUUAAAUUGAAAUUCAACGAGUUUUAUAAAAGAAAUUAAAAAAAUUUACUCGUAAAGUUGAGUAGCUGCAUAUGGUGAGUACCCGAUGACUGGGAGUUUGGUAGUGCUCUAAAGAAAAAAUCCUUCAAUCCCUCUUCCAGAUAUUGUUUCCCUGUAGAUGGUAAGUGCUUCCUCCAUAACGUUAGCUUGAGCCAGCAGCUGAGAUCUCUUCUUUCCAGAUGGAUGAGUAGAUAGAUAAUCUCUCAGUGCUGAAUCACCAGUGACCUUCCCCAAUUUCUCAUACACUCUAGGUGCAACUCGAGGAUCAUAUCCAGCAGAAGCCAUCAACAAUAGACCAAUGUAAUCUGCCUCUAUUUCCAUCCUGAGUUUUAAAAAAAGGGCCAUUGAAACUAGGUGAGCUCUUAAUGACUGAAUUUGCAUUCACCAUUAUGUUUUCUGCUGAUUACUUACAAAAAAGCCAGCUCAAUAGAAGUAUUUGUACAUGUAAUGAUGUAUUAUAGCCAUAGUCGUCAACUUGCUAUGUGAUAGAACAUUAUGUUUUACCCAGGCAAAAUUUUCAGGACAUGAUAUAAGCUGUAAAGACUCUACUAGUCUUUCAAGCUUUUUAAUAUGCUGGCGCAUGAUCAGAUGUACAUACAAUUUAAUUUCCCUCAGACUAGUUAAGAAGAAAGCUACACAAGAUGGAACCGUUAGAAUCUGCAUGAUUCAUUAUGAUCCAGAUAUCUCAAGAGUUGUACAAGACAGCAUAAUAAAAACUUGUCACUGUGCAGAACUGCAGAUACACAAAUUGCAGACACUAGUACUAGAUGGACACCAAGCUCUUUAUGAUGCAUUGCAGACCAUGUUGGCAAUAUUUCCAAUAAAAUUAAUGAAAAUCACAAAAGAAAAGGCAGUGAAAUUACUUAGAUUCAACAUAAUCAACUUUAAGGCUGCCAAAAAAUGCAGUAUCAUACAGAGGACCACCUCCCCUCCCCCAACAAAACAAAAAAAGCCAUGACUCAAACUAAAUAGAUGCUGAGGUCAUAAACCAGAGGACAAUUGAAGAAAAUAAUUUUGCUAGUGCCAAAACCCACCUGUCAUGACUGCAAAAGCAUGUAAUCAAAAACAAAUAAAGCAGACAAACACUACAUACAAUGAUAUUUAAUUGGUUAUUCUACUAUGAAUCAAAUCACAUAAAUACAUCAAUAAGUUCAGAAUCUCUAACUACUAACCCAAUUACACUCAAGAGAUAUCACACAUAUUAUUAAAUAAACCAUGGAGGCUGUCUUCACUAUAUGGGUAACAAUCCACUCUACAAUGGACAAAAGUCCCUUUCCUCCUGGACUCUAUGCCUUUUCUCCAUUCAUGAGCUAAAGCCAAAUAGCCCCCCUACAAUGUUCCUAUUUAUGAUCUCAAUAGAAAUCUCACUCAAAUAGAAAUAAUACUAAAAUACGAGCCCUACUCUACAUAAGAAAUAAACCUCUAACCAAUUGAGAAGUAUUUCUUCAACUCAAACUAAGGUCUUUUUCAAAUCCUACAAGGAUUUUGAGCCAUUAGCUAACAAAGUUGUAGUGCAACUAAAUGAUGAAUUCUAGUGAAGCUGAUUUCUAUAUGGUACUAUGUCAUUCACACAUCAAAUGCCUACUAGAAUAGGAGCCCUUCUUGAUGGCAUAAAAAGGAUGUUUAUAAGUUAUAUAUCAUGAUCCAAUGACAAUUUGCAGUGAUCAGUCUUUGGUUUUUAUGUACGUAUUGUUAGUAUUGUAAGUAAAACUUGAAAUGACACUGCAGUUUAAGAAAUUUGCAAAACUACAUUAUAAAGCAACUGAAGUGACAAAAUCAGUAUCUAAAAAACAUUACAUAUAUAUAACAAACAGAAAUGCAUGGAGAGGAUUUCAAUAGGAGCUUUCCUAGUCUAUGUUCAAUGAAAUACACGUAUUUCCAGUAACAAUAUUAACAAAAUAAGCAACAUACAUUAAAAUAUAUAUAUGUGUGUGUGUGU